AUUCAAAUGAAACCUGUUGAGCAUGAGUUGGCAUUUCAGUUUAGGAAUGUGGAUGUUAAAGCAAACCUGUGCUGCAGGAAUUGUUUACUCUCAUUAUAGUUGAAUGCUGCAAUCUGCAUCUCAUUGCAUCGAAUGCUGCAAACAGGUCCAUUCACUGUUCUUUGUGGUGUUCAGUCAGCAUGCAGGUCACUCAUUAGCACCACUGGUUUAUAUCCCUCAACCAUUAAAAAAAUGAAUUAUAGCUUGCACAUCUUUCUUGGACAGAUUUUCAAUUAUACCAACCAUCUUCAACAUUAUGUCAUGCAUUUAAAAAUGAUGCAAGUGCACAAUUUAAAAGCACUAUGCAUGCACAAGACACACAGCUUCGCUUUAACAUCUGCAUUCCUAAAUUGAAAUGUCAAUUCAUCACGUGGCACAUUACAUUUGAACACACCAUAUAUUUAUACAAAAAUAGUCUUAUAAAUAAAAUGAAACAAAUAAUAAUUCUGGAUGCAGCAUUAUAUUAUCAGAUAAACUGUCCCAUUGAUAAUUUUGAAAACAAGGU
RNAcentral lists this long non-coding RNA (544 nucleotides) under Androctonus crassicauda. The record is from RNAcentral. Lineage: Eukaryota; Metazoa; Arthropoda; Arachnida; Scorpiones; Buthidae.